RNAcentral lists this long non-coding RNA (528 nucleotides) under Calidris pugnax (ruff). Its description in RNAcentral is "lncRNA (ENSCPUG00000003501.1)". The record is from RNAcentral. Lineage: Eukaryota; Metazoa; Chordata; Aves; Charadriiformes; Scolopacidae.
GCUUCAUUUCAUGCUUCUGCCUUUAGGAAAAUUCCCAGGCUCUAACUCCAGGACCCAGUACAGACAAUCUGCCUUUUCCUAGAUGUUAGCCUUCUCAUUGCUCUGCCCUGGUGCCCAGACAACAACCCCUACAUGAGACUUUUUUAAGGACAGAUCAUUUUUGGCCCUGCUUCCCUGCUUAUUAACACAAACUGUGUUGAACCAAGGUGCUUUUUCAGCAGGAAGGGGCAAUCUGACAUCUUGUCUGAGAACAACCUGACUGGCCCUUGCUGGAUACUGGUUUGUAGAAGGCACUGAUGGAUGCUUCCCCCUGUGAAAGGAGGACCUCCCAUCAAUAACUUCUGGUCAGCAACUUCCAUGCCACACGGGCUCAUCUCAAAGGCUUAUGCCAUGAAGAGAAGAAGCACCACCAGUUUUGCAGAGUAUGGUCCUGGCAGGUGGAGAGAUGAAAGGCCUUUACAGGCAAUGAUCUACAGAGCAAAAGCAGAUCAUUACCUCAUGAAUGAGGUUCUGCUUUUUAAACAGUGA